GACGUAGGUGGCGAACGUUAUCUGGAAUUAUUGGGCGUAAAGGGUGCGUAGGUGGCCUGACAAGUUAUCAGUGGCAAAUCGAGGCUCAACCUCGUGGAAACUGGUAAUACUGUCUGGCUUGAGUACAGGAGAGGUUAACGGAACUCCAUGUGUAGCGGUAAAAUGCGACGAUAUAUGAAUGAACAUCAAUAAAGGCGAAGGCAGUUAACUAUUCUGUUACUGACACUGAGGCACGAAAGCGUGGGGAGCAAAACGG
Molecule: ribosomal RNA, 256 nt
Filed under: uncultured bacterium
Lineage: Bacteria
Description: partial 16S ribosomal RNA
Rfam family: Bacterial small subunit ribosomal RNA
Source: RNAcentral